Long non-coding RNA from Asparagus officinalis (garden asparagus), 152 nucleotides. RefSeq lists it as uncharacterized. The transcript has 2 exons. NCBI's taxonomy places the organism in Eukaryota, Viridiplantae, Streptophyta, Magnoliopsida, Asparagales, Asparagaceae. The record is from RefSeq and is a predicted model, not a curated record.
ACCUGGAGAGUACCAGCUGCAUGCUGACCCUGAAGGUGAAUCGCUUUCACCCUGACCAUAAAGAAAAGCUAUGGAUCAGAAAGAGCAACCUAACCAUUCAAAUAAAGCAGUACAAGUACUCAAUUGCUGAAGAUGAUGAGUCUUCCAAGUCA